Molecule: ribosomal RNA, 348 nt
Filed under: Brechmorhoga mendax
Lineage: Eukaryota; Metazoa; Arthropoda; Insecta; Odonata; Libellulidae
Description: partial 28S ribosomal RNA
Source: RNAcentral
GAAGGGAUGGCGUCUUCGCGGCCGUGGGGCGACCCUCGGUCCGGAGGGGCGACCCUCGGUCCGGAGGCGCCACCCCGCGGGUGCGGACAUUCCCGGCGCCGGAGUGACGCACUUCUCCCCCGGUAGAACGUCGCGAUCCGUCGGUCGCCGGCUUAAGGCCCCGGGUGGAGCCUGUUUCGCCGCGCAUGACCCCGGGGAUCCGGGCCGGGUGUCCGACGGUAUGAAGAGAGGAAGGAGUCGACGCGCCUCGUUCGUAGGCGUCCGCCCCUCCGCAAGCGCCCGCGGGAGUGGGAGGUUCCGGGCCCGGCCCGGUCUCCUCCUUCAGCGGGGCUGUUUGCGAUCCGGAGG